GCUUGAGGGUGUUUACCUAGACACUAAUUCUGAGAGUAACAUGGAGGCAAGUUCAGUUAUUCAGUUGAACAAGCAUUUAAGUGCUUAUCUCUGACCUAUUGAUGUAAGGGACAUGUAAGUCAGCAGUAAUGGUGUAACCCAUCAUGUCUGCAGUGCAAUCACAUGGACUUUGGAGUGUGAAAGAGAAGAAAUGAAGAGAUCUUCCAUGAGAAAGGGCAGUGUUCUUUCCUAUGUAAAUGCAUAUUGUGAUUUAUCAAGGCAGUGCAAGAAUACAUCCCAUAUAUUAAAUGAAACUGACAGAAAAAAUGGAAGUUAUGGGGCCACAGAAGAAAUUUAAGAGAUUUAUUUGCAAACCUGAGAAAUUAGAAGUUACAGUAAAGCAAAGACUGGAAAUACAAGGGCAGAUGAGCCAAAGGACACAGUUGAGGAAAAAUACAUGAAUACUAAGCAGUGGAGGGAGGAACACCAAGAAAGUGAAAAAUGUGAAACCAACAGAAACCGGAAAACUGCAAUAGAGAGAGAAAAAAAUUUACCUAUAAAAGAAUUUAAGGAAUGUGAGUAUUAUGGAUAAAAAGUCAUUUCACUUUUUUUCUCUGUUCUCAACCCUCUCUGUACUGAUUGAGGACCUGCAAGGUUAAGAAACUGCACCUCUAUUUAUAAAAACUGUGUUGUUGAUCCUCAUGCUGCCAUCUUUUGUAAAGGUUUUCUGUUGUUUCAGACAAAUGCACAAAUUGUUCCUUCAACAUUUAAUCUCUUUUGUCAUUCAAAUAGACAGCACUCCACCUCUAACAAUCUGGAAUGUGACAUAACAUUAAACUGUAACCUCAGUGCCAUCUUUCCUCGUGUCAUCAGUUUUCAGUUCUCAGUUUUUCCUCCCUUAUGUGCAGAUUUUGCAAUCACAUCUGUUGCUAAUAUUUAAUCAUCUACUUCUCUUUAGACAGGAAAAAAGUUUACCAAGCACUAACAAGUACUGAACCCACUGAUCAACUGGCACCUAGCAUGCAGAUAUUUUUCAUACAUUUUUUUAAAGGAAGCUUUUUUAAAAUAUAAAUAUU
Molecule: long non-coding RNA, 1055 nt
Organism: Schistocerca gregaria
Lineage: Eukaryota; Metazoa; Arthropoda; Insecta; Orthoptera; Acrididae
Exons: 3
Source: RefSeq, a predicted model, not a curated record